This 484-nucleotide ribosomal RNA is filed under the name uncultured bacterium. Its description in RNAcentral is "partial 16S ribosomal RNA". It matches the Rfam family "Bacterial small subunit ribosomal RNA", at positions 30 to 507 of the family's 1533-position model. The record is from RNAcentral.
AUUGAACGCUGGCGGCAGGCCUAACACAUGCAAGUCGAGCGGAUGAAGGGAGCUUGCUCCUGGAUUCAGCGGCGGACGGGUGAGUAAUGCCUAGGAAUCUGCCUGGUAGUGGGGGAUAACGUCCGGAAACGGGCGCUAAUACCGCAUACGUCCUGAGGGAGAAAGUGGGGGAUCUUCGGACCUCACGCUAUCAGAUGAGCCUAGGUCGGAUUAGCUAGUUGGUGGGGUAAAGGCCUACCAAGGCGACGAUCCGUAACUGGUCUGAGAGGAUGAUCAGUCACGCUGGAAGUGGAACAAGGGCCAGACAGCUACGGGACUCAGCGUGGCGGAAUAUUCGGGAUGGGGCGGCAGCCUGGCCCGCCCGUCCCGCGAGUGUGGAGGAGGUCUUUUGAUGGUCAAGCACCUCACGGCGGGAAGACGCGCAGUACCCUGCCACCUUCCUGUUUCGACCUUACUAACAGAACAAGCACCGCCGUAAUCCCUG